Sphaerodactylus townsendi is the source of this 1317-nucleotide long non-coding RNA. RefSeq lists it as uncharacterized. The record is from RefSeq and is a predicted model, not a curated record. The transcript is spliced from 3 exons. Lineage: Eukaryota; Metazoa; Chordata; Lepidosauria; Squamata; Sphaerodactylidae.
GAGAAGGGGCCGAAGCCAGCAGCGACGAGACGUAGCGGUCCACCUCCGCCCUGCUGCGCCUCAUCAUGGCGGCGACCGAGGAAGGCCGAGCCUGGCCCGCAGCGUCGUCACGGAGAAAAGCUCCAGCCGAGCCUUCGCCGGCCCUCGAGAAACACCGUUUGGAGGCCAAAUAACGCCACUCCACGCGACAGAUGGCGCGGCUAAAAGGUUGCUGUUGCGUCAGCGCCGACGCGCCGGAAGCGUACGGAAGUGAGGUUGGGCAAAGAAGAAAUAGAGGAGAGAAGAGUAAAGAGUAAAGAUACAGGCACAGUAGAAAAGAGAAGUCAGCAGAAUACAGAAAUGGUGAUAAUGGGCAAUGUGGUACUGACUGAUGGCAAUCCAAUCAGGGCAGCUGGAUAACGUUUGGAUUCUGUGCAUAAAAAGGUUUUGUAGAGGCUAGACAGACUGUCAUUCCAGUCCCACACCUCAACACCAUAAAAGACUUGAGGAACAUCCUUACUUGUGAACAGCUUAAAGGGUGGAGCUAUUAAAAAACCUACCCUGACAAAAUAAAACCUCAGGAUGGCUCCUAUCAAAGAUCUAAUAGUUGUCAAUUGAGCUGACCAGUUUAGAGGCUCACUGAAGCCUAGAGCUAGGUAUUUAAAAGUACUAGUUUGCUCUAGUACUAUGGAUACUCUAAUACCAUGUAUGCUCCAUUGAAACUUUAGAUGUUUUUCUAAAAACAACCACUUUGGUCUUAACAUAAUUAAUGGUAAGAAACUUCUUUGCAGUAAUUGCCUAGUUCAUUAAGCAAUCUCUUUAGGUCAAUGCAUGUUAGAGAAAUCAGAGUCAUAUCUUUCAGAGAUUUUUGAGAUCCCAGUGAGGGAGGAACAUAUGUUGACCCAGACAGCCUCGAUAACAAUAUCAUUUACAUAAAACUUAAAAAGCAUAGCAGACAAAAUGCACCCCGGCUUAACCUCCUGAGAACUGGAAUGUUCUCAGUUAGGGAUUCUGAUGCACUCACCCUUAUUUUGACAAGGAUAGCAGUGUACAGUUCCUCUACAAGGAAAUCAAACGUUUAUCAACAUUCAUUCUACCUUUGCUUCAUCCAGAGAUGGCAUCUAUCAACAGAAUCAAAGGCUGCUAAAUCAAUGGAGGCCACAUACAAACUUUGGUAGGACCCUUUGGUUUACAAUGGAGUCAAUUCCUACUGAAUCCAAUGGGAAUUACUGGAUUCAAAGGAUUGAAAGAUAUGUAUUUUAUUCACUGCUAAACCUUUGAUAUACUUUGCCUACAUUUUAAGCAAUAUUUUGAAAUGCAAACAUUUUUUAAAAUGUU